GACGAACGCUGGCGGCGUGCUUAACACAUGCGAGUCGAACGGAAAGGCCCUGCUUUUGUGGGGUGCUCGAGUGGCGAACGGGUGAGUAACACGUGAGUAACCUGCCCUUGACUUUGGGAUAACUUCAGGAAACUGGGGCUAAUACCGGAUAGGAGCUCCUGCUGCAUGGUGGGGGUUGGAAAGUUUCGGCGGUUGGGGAUGGACUCGCGGCUUAUCAGCUUGUUGGUGGGGUAGUGGCUUACCAAGGCUUUGACGGGUAGCCGGCCUGAGAGGGUGACCGGCCACAUUGGGACUGAGAUACGGCCCAGACUCCUACUGGAGGCAGCAGUGGGGAAUAUUGCACAAUGGGCGGAAGCCUGAUGCAGCAACGCCGCGUGCGGGAUGACGGCCUUCGGGUUGUAAACCGCUUUCGCCUGUGACGAAGCGUGAGUGACGGUAAUGGGUAAAGAAGCACCGGCUAACUACGUG
This 468-nucleotide ribosomal RNA is filed under the name uncultured bacterium. RNAcentral describes it as "partial 16S ribosomal RNA". It matches the Rfam family "Bacterial small subunit ribosomal RNA", at positions 28 to 507 of the family's 1533-position model. The record is from RNAcentral.